GAUGAACGCUGGCGGCGUGCCUAAUACAUGCAAGUCGAGCGAACAGACGAUGAGCUUUCUCCUCUGACGUUAGCGGCGGACGGGUGAGUAACACGUGGAUAACCUACCUAUAAGACUUGGAUAACUUCGUAAAACCGGAUCUAAUACCACAUAAUAUAUUGAACCGCAUGAUUCAAUAGUGAUAUACGCUUUGCCUGUCACUUAUAGAUGGUUUCGCGCCGCAUUAGCUAGUUGGUAAGGUAACGGCUUACCAAGGCGACGAUGCGUAGCCGACCUGAGAGGAUGACCAGCAACACUGGAACGGAGACAGGGACCAGCCUCCGAAGGGAGGCAGCGGUGGGGAAUAUUCGGGAAGGGGCGGAAGCGAAAAGUAGCCAAGCGGGGUGGGUGAGGAAGGGCUUCGGGUCGUAAAGCAUUUUUAUUGGGAAAGAAAAAAAGCAGAUUAAUAUCCCACGGUAAUGACGGUACCUAAAGAAAAAGCACCGGCUAACUCCGUG
This 497-nucleotide ribosomal RNA is filed under the name uncultured bacterium. Its description in RNAcentral is "partial 16S ribosomal RNA". It matches the Rfam family "Bacterial small subunit ribosomal RNA", at positions 28 to 507 of the family's 1533-position model. The record is from RNAcentral.